RNAcentral lists this small RNA (79 nucleotides) under Marmota monax (woodchuck). Lineage: Eukaryota; Metazoa; Chordata; Mammalia; Rodentia; Sciuridae. The record is from RNAcentral.
GCUGGGUGUGGUAGCGCAUGCCUGUAAUCCCACACCCAGGAGGCUGUGGCAGGAAGAUCACAAGUUCAUAGCCAGCCUU